CGGGUGAGUAACACGUGGAUAACCUACCUAUAAGACUGGGAUAACUUCGGGAAACCGGAGCUAAUACCGGAUAAUAUUUUGAACCGCAUGGUUCAAAAGUGAAAGACGGUCUUGCUGUCACUUAUAGAUGGAUCCGCGCUGCAUUAGCUAGUUGGUAAGGUAACGGCUUACCAAGGCAACGAUGCAUAGCCGGCCUGAGAGGGUGAUCGGCCACACUGGAACUGAGACACGGUCCAG
This 237-nucleotide ribosomal RNA is filed under the name uncultured Staphylococcus sp. Its description in RNAcentral is "partial 16S ribosomal RNA". It matches the Rfam family "Bacterial small subunit ribosomal RNA", at positions 103 to 334 of the family's 1533-position model. The record is from RNAcentral. Lineage: Bacteria; Bacillati; Bacillota; Bacilli; Caryophanales; Staphylococcaceae.